CCGCCACUGGCUCAUCGGGAAAGAGCACAGCCUUCUAAGUUGACUGUGCGAGGUUCGAGUCCUCGGUGGCGGUCCA
This 76-nucleotide transfer RNA is filed under the name Escherichia coli. Its description in RNAcentral is "tRNA-Arg". It matches the Rfam family "tRNA". Rfam says of the family: Transfer RNA (tRNA) molecules are approximately 80 nucleotides in length. The record is from RNAcentral. Lineage: Bacteria; Pseudomonadati; Pseudomonadota; Gammaproteobacteria; Enterobacterales; Enterobacteriaceae.